GGCUUGUGUGAAGCGGCCGCCCCAAGCUGAGCCUGCAGCUGAUAACCACAGACACCCUGGCAGGGAAAUCUGUGAUCAGAACAACAACAAAAUGCCAAGGAAAACAAAACCCAUUUGCAUUUGUAGUAAGUAAGUGCUGCUCCACCAAGCUGAGAAGAAAUGGCCCUUGGCUGUCCUCGGGGCCAGUGCUAGGAACUCUGGACCAGCCGUCUGUAGUGGGGCAUGACUUCGUGCUCGGGCAAGUGGAGGGCGAAUUCCAAGGCCACUAACACCGGGAAUUCAAAGGCAAUCAGUUCUCGCCUGUUCAGCCGGAACUUCUCUUCCAGUUUCUGCAACAAAAAGAAAAUCAAAAGCAUGUUCAUUUUGAAAUUAAAAUCCUAGUCUUUCUGCAA
This 392-nucleotide non-coding RNA is filed under the name Pan troglodytes (chimpanzee). The record is from RNAcentral. Lineage: Eukaryota; Metazoa; Chordata; Mammalia; Primates; Hominidae.